This 66-nucleotide transfer RNA is filed under the name Curculionidae sp. 7 AH-2016. RNAcentral's name for it is "tRNA-Trp". The record is from RNAcentral. Lineage: Eukaryota; Metazoa; Arthropoda; Insecta; Coleoptera; Curculionidae.
AAGAAUUUAAGUUAAAUAAACUUUUAACCUUCAAAGUUAAAUAUAGAACUAAUAUUCUAAUUCUUA